This 107-nucleotide ribosomal RNA is filed under the name Carlito syrichta (Philippine tarsier). The record is from RNAcentral. Lineage: Eukaryota; Metazoa; Chordata; Mammalia; Primates; Tarsiidae.
GUCUCCUGCCAUACCUCCCUGGACCCCUGCAGUCGUGUGAUCUUGGAAGCUGAGUGGAUCAGGGCUGGUAGGUACUUGGAUCAGAGAAAUGCAAGAAGCUCGAAGUC